RNAcentral lists this non-coding RNA (28 nucleotides) under Mus musculus (house mouse). The record is from RNAcentral. Lineage: Eukaryota; Metazoa; Chordata; Mammalia; Rodentia; Muridae.
UGUUCCACAGAGCCAAGCUGCAAUUUAU